GUUUGCCCAAGUUCGCCCUCGGGUUCAGUCUCAGGUCCUGUGGGAGUCCUUUUGUUCUUAUUGGCCUUAGGUGGUCGACCUACUGGCCUUUUAGUUUUUGAGUUGCCAGGUUGUUGCCCUGGCGCCUCCUGAGAAUUCGCUCCUCCUUGGGAAGUGCUUCGAGUUACCACCAUCCUGGAGUGUUCGACUUUUCCUGGAAGGAGUGUUCGACUUUUCCUGGAAUGAGUGUUCGACUUUUGCCUGAAGAGGAAAGUCGAUCUUCAAGAAGUCGAUUCCUAGUGUGCUUGGAGGAUUCCUUGGAAGCCGAUGUUCGAAAGCCUAGCUCCUUGAGGGGUCGACUUUUCUUCGGAAGAAAAAGUCGAUCUCCUGAAAUGUCGAUCCCUUGCUGGCUGAUUUCCUCGCAAAACUUCCUAGCUGGCGACUUGGAAAAAAGUCGAUCCUUUUUUCGAAGAAGUCGAGGAGCUUUUGUCGUGAGUAUUUUUGAAUCACAGACGGCGCCAACUGAUGGGGGUGAAACCCGACCAGUACUCCAAGACGCGCAAGCAAGCGCCAAGCGGGGAACUCCGCGGGAAACCGGACCGGAACUCAAGUGUGCAGAGCUCUGCUUCGCUAGGAAUUCUUCUUCUCCAAAAAUGACUUACCUUUAAUGAGUGGGGGGUGCCCUCUAUUUAUAGGGGUUCUUAUGGGGUCAAUCUGGUCAUUUGGGCAGUAACCGCCUAACUGCCUAACUGAUCAGAUUGGGUCCAGGGGUCGACUUUCCAGAGAUCGACUUUCUGGGGGUCGACUUUUCCUGAUGAUCGACUUUACUCAAAAGUCGAUCCCAGGGAAGUUGAUCCUCAGGAAAGUCGAUCUUCCUAGGAUUCGACCUGGGACCUCCAUAACCCUAGAAUAGAUACCUCAACUCAUCUUAGGCUAUCCGGACUUCUAGUUGCUGGUAGGUUGUGACCGUGUUCGGGAUACUGUAUCACCAC
RNAcentral lists this long non-coding RNA (971 nucleotides) under Zostera marina. RNAcentral describes it as "long non-coding RNA (ZMAR_LNC000238)". The record is from RNAcentral. Lineage: Eukaryota; Viridiplantae; Streptophyta; Magnoliopsida; Alismatales; Zosteraceae.